GGCAUGCAAAGCUAGUGUCUUUAGGAGGAAGAAAGCCACUUUAAAUGAAUUGUUUUCAGUGGUGAUUCUUUAGGGGAAAACAAUCUCCUUCACUGCAAAAUUUACAAGUUCCUUGAGUAACUCUAUAUAAGUGGAUAGCAGACAUGGACUGGCUUCAAGUGUUCGCAGACCAUUCUUUUAUAAAAUUUCGCCAAAGGAAAAUUUUUAAUAAAAAUCUAGAAUGCGUAACAUGAAAUUAUCUAUUUACAUGAAAAAUGUGUUCAUAGCUCUAUUGCUACUCAGUGUAGCGAUUGCUAACCCAGUCCUUCCUAGUCAUGACCAAUGUCAGGAAUCAACGUCGUCAGAACUUAGAAGUCUUCUUUCAGAGGACACGCAUGAGUCAUUUGGUAUGGAAAGAUAUCACCAUAUUCAAUUUAGAAAUGAUAUAAGACACUUCCAAAACGUCACCAGAAUUACAGUUCCUGGGGAAUCAACGUCGU
Long non-coding RNA from Mercenaria mercenaria, 479 nucleotides. RefSeq lists it as uncharacterized. The transcript is spliced from 2 exons. NCBI's taxonomy places the organism in Eukaryota, Metazoa, Mollusca, Bivalvia, Venerida, Veneridae. The record is from RefSeq and is a predicted model, not a curated record.